Molecule: ribosomal RNA, 567 nt
Filed under: Plasmodium chabaudi adami
Lineage: Eukaryota; Apicomplexa; Aconoidasida; Haemosporida; Plasmodiidae
Description: SSU rRNA
Rfam family: Eukaryotic small subunit ribosomal RNA
Source: RNAcentral
AACCUGGUUGAUCUUGCCAGUAGUCAUAUGCUUGUCUCAAAGAUUAAGCCAUGCAAGUGAAAGUAUAUGCAUAUUUUAUAUGUAGAAACUGCGAACGGCUCAUUAAAACAGUUAUAAUCUACUUGACAUUUUAUUAUAAGGAUAACUACGGAAAAGCUGUAGCUAAUACUUGCUUUAAAUGCUUUUACUCCCCGGAGUAAUUGCAUGUAUUUGUUAAGCCUUAUAAGAAAAUUUUUUAAUUAAAGGAAUUAUAACAAAGAAGUAACACAUAAUAUAUUUACUAUAUUUAGUGUGUAUCAAUCGAGUUUCUGACCUAUCAGCUUUUGAUGUUAGGGUAUUGACCUAACAUGGCUUUGACGGGUAACGGGGAAUUAGAGUUCGAUUCCGGAGAGGGAGCCUGAGAAAUAGCUACCACAUCUAAGGAAGGCAGCAGGCGCGUAAAUUACCCAAUUCUAAAUAAGAGAGGUAGUGACAAGAAAUAACAAUAUAAGGCCAAAUUUUGGUUUUAUAAUUGGAAUGAUGGGAACUUAAAACCUUCCCAAAAAUCAAUUGGAGGGCAAGUCUGGU